AGAGCGAACGCUGGCGGCAGGCUUAACACAUGCAAGUCGAGCGGGCGUAGCAAUACGUCAGCGGCAGACGGGUGAGUAACGCGUGGGAACGUACCUUUUGGUUCGGAACAACCCAGGGAAACUUGGGCUAAUACCGGAUAAGCCCUUACGGGGAAAGAUUUAUCGCCGAAAGAUCGGCCCGCGUCUGAUUAGCUAGUUGGUGAGGUAAUGGCUCACCAAGGCGACGAUCAGUAGCUGGUCUGAGAGGAUGAUCAGCCACAUUGGGACUGAGACACGGCCCAAACUCCUACGGGAGGCAGCAGUGGGGAAUAUUGGACAAUGGGCGCAAGCCUGAUCCAGCCAUGCCGCGUGAGUGAUGAAGGCCCUAGGGUUGUAAAGCUCUUUUGUGGCGGGAAGAUAAUGACGGUACCGCAAGAAUAAGCCCCGGCUAACUUCGUGCCAGCAGCCGC
This 449-nucleotide ribosomal RNA is filed under the name uncultured bacterium. RNAcentral's name for it is "SSU rRNA". It matches the Rfam family "Bacterial small subunit ribosomal RNA", at positions 26 to 518 of the family's 1533-position model. The record is from RNAcentral.